Molecule: ribosomal RNA, 266 nt
Filed under: uncultured bacterium
Lineage: Bacteria
Description: partial 16S ribosomal RNA
Rfam family: Bacterial small subunit ribosomal RNA
Source: RNAcentral
UACGGAGGGUGCGAGCGUUAAUCGGAAUUACUGGGCGUAAAGCGCGCGUAGGCGGUUUGGUAAGCUGGAUGUGAAAGCCCUGGGCUCAACCUGGGAACUGCGUUUGGAACCACAAGACUAGAGUGUGUCAGAGGGGGGUGGAAUUCCGCGUGUAGCAGUGAAAUGCGUAGAGAUGCGGAGGAACACCGAUGGCGAAGGCAGCCCCUCGGGAUAACACUGACGCUCAUGCACGAAAGCGUGGGGAGCAAACAGGAUUAGAAACCCCA